RNAcentral lists this ribosomal RNA (472 nucleotides) under uncultured bacterium. Its description in RNAcentral is "bacterial SSU rRNA". It matches the Rfam family "Bacterial small subunit ribosomal RNA", at positions 355 to 825 of the family's 1533-position model. The record is from RNAcentral.
UGGGGAAUAUUGGACAAUGGGGGGAACCCUGAUCCAGCAAUGCCGCAUGUGUGAAGAAGGCCUGAGGGUUGUAAAGCACUUUCAGAGGGGAGGAGGACUAUUAGGUUAAGAGCUAGAUAGUUGGACGUUACCCUCAGAAGCAGCACCGGCUAACUCCGUGCCAGCAGCCGCGGUAAUACAGAGGUGGCAAGCGUUGUUCGGAAUUACUGGGCGUAAAGGGCGCGUAGGCGGCCUGAUAAGUCUCGUGUGAAAGCCCUCGGCUUAACUGAGGAUCUGCACGGGAUACUGUUGGGCUUGAGUUCGGGAGAGGAAAGCGGAAUUCCGGGUGUAGCGGUGAAAUGCGUAGAUAUCCGGAGGAACACCAGUGGCGAAGGCGGCUUUCUGGACCGACACUGACGCUGAGGCGCGAAAGCUAGGGGAGCAAACGGGAUUAGAUACCCCCGUAGUCCCUGAGCGGGCUGGCAAGGCGCAU